AUAUUGGACAAUGGGGGCAACCCUGAUCCAGCCAUGCCGCGUGUGUGAAGAAGGUCUUCGGAUUGUAAAGCACUUUAAGCUGGGAGGAAGGGCUCUUGGUUAAUACCCUGAAGUUUUGACGUUACCAACAAAUUAAGCACCGGCUAACCUCCUGUCAGCAGCCGCGGCAAUACAAAGGGUGCAAGCGUUAAUCGGAAUUACUGGGCGUAAAGCGCGCGUAGGUGGUUCAGUAAGAUGGGUGUGAAAUCCCCGGGCUUAACCUGGGAACUGCUUUCAUAACUGCUGAGCUAGAGUACGGUAGAGGGUAGUGGAAUUUCCUGUGUAGCGGUGAAAUGCGUAGAUAUAGGAAGGAACAUCAGUGGCGAAGGCGACUACCUGGACUGAUACUGACACUGAGGUGCGAAAGCGUGGGGAGCAAACA
Molecule: ribosomal RNA, 421 nt
Filed under: uncultured bacterium
Lineage: Bacteria
Description: partial 16S ribosomal RNA
Rfam family: Bacterial small subunit ribosomal RNA
Source: RNAcentral